GACGAACGCUGGCGGCGUGCUUAACACAUGCAAGUCGAGCGGGAUCCAACCGGUGGCAACACCGGGGAAGAUCUAGCGGCGAACGGGUGAGUAACACGUGAGCAACCUGCCCCGAAGACUGGGAUAACACCGGGAAACCGGUGCUAAUACCGGAUGUCGUCAUUAGGCCGCAUGACCUGAUGAUGAAAGGAUUCAUCGCUUCGGGAGGGGCUCGCGGGCUAUCAGCNGUUGGUGGGGUAACGGCCUACCAAGGCGACGACGGCUAGCUGGUCUGAGAGGACGACCAGCCACACUGGGACUGAGACACGGCCCAGACUCCUACGGGAGGCAGCAGUGGGGAAUCUUGCGCAAUGGGCGAAAGCCUGACGCAGCAACGCCGCGUGGGGGAUGAAUGCCUUC
Molecule: ribosomal RNA, 399 nt
Filed under: uncultured bacterium
Lineage: Bacteria
Description: bacterial SSU rRNA
Rfam family: Bacterial small subunit ribosomal RNA
Source: RNAcentral